This 720-nucleotide ribosomal RNA is filed under the name Bacillus zhangzhouensis. Its description in RNAcentral is "bacterial SSU rRNA". It matches the Rfam family "Bacterial small subunit ribosomal RNA", at positions 55 to 761 of the family's 1533-position model. The record is from RNAcentral. Lineage: Bacteria; Bacillati; Bacillota; Bacilli; Caryophanales; Bacillaceae.
AUGCAGUCGAGCGAACAGAAGGGAGCUUGCUCCCGGAUGUUAGCGGCGGACGGGUGAGUAACACGUGGGUAACCUGCCUGUAAGACUGGGAUAACUCCGGGAAACCGGAGCUAAUACCGGAUAGUUCCUUGAACCGCAGGUUCAAGGAUGAAAGACGGUUUCGGCUGUCACUUACAGAUGGACCCGCGGCGCAUAGCUAGUUGGUGGGGUAAUGGCUCACCAAGGCGACGAUGCGUAGCCGACCUGAGAGGGUGAUCGGCCACACUGGGACUGAGACACGGCCCAGACUCCUACGGGAGGCAGCAGUAGGGAAUCUUCCGCAAUGGACGAAAGUCUGACGGAGCAACGCCGCGUGAGUGAUGAAGGUUUUCGGAUCGUAAAGCUCUGUUGUUAGGGAAGAACAAGUGCGAGAGUAACUGCUCGCACCUUGACGGUACCUAACCAGAAAGCCACGGCUAACUACGUGCCAGCAGCCGCGGUAAUACGUAGGUGGCAAGCGUUGUCCGGAAUUAUUGGGCGUAAAGGGCUCGCAGGCGGUUUCUUAAGUCUGAUGUGAAAGCCCCCGGCUCAACCGGGGAGGGUCAUUGGAAACUGGGAAACUUGAGUGCAGAAGAGGAGAGUGGAAUUCCACGUGUAGCGGUGAAAUGCGUAGAGAUGUGGAGGAACACCAGUGGCGAAAGCGACUCUCUGGUCUGUAACUGACGCUGAGGAGCGAAAGCG